Molecule: ribosomal RNA, 461 nt
Filed under: uncultured bacterium
Lineage: Bacteria
Description: partial 16S ribosomal RNA
Rfam family: Bacterial small subunit ribosomal RNA
Source: RNAcentral
CCUACGGGAGGCUGCAGUGAGGAAUAUUGGUCAAUGGGCGCGAGCCUGAACCAGCCAAGUCGCGUGAGGGAGGACGGCCCUACGGGUUGUAAACCUCUUUUGCCGGGGAGCAACGGGCGUCACGUGUGGCGCCACUGAGAGUACCCGGAGAAAAAGCAUCGGCUAACUACGUGCCAGCAGCCGCGGUAAUACGGAGGAUGCGCGCGUUAUCCGGAUUUCUUGGGUUUAAAGGGAGCGUAGAUGGGUUGUUAAGUCAGUUGUGAAAGUUUGCGGCUCAACCGUAAAGUUGCAAUUGAUACUGGCAGUCUGGAGUACAGUUGAGGUAGGCGGAAUUCGUGGUGUAGCGGUGAAAUGCUUAGAUAUCACGAAGAACUCCGAUUGCGAAGGCAGCUUACUAAACUGCCACUGACAUUGAUGCUCGAAAGUGUGGGUAUCAAACAGGAUUAGAGACCCGUGUAGUC